AAACGCGGCGGGCGCCUUAUGCACUGCAGCGAGCGAAGCUUUCAGUAGUUACUACAGAAAAUGACUGAGCGGCGAACGGGUGAGUAACGCGUGAGCAAUCUACCUUAGUUACAGGUAUAGCCCGAGGAAACUCGGAUUAAUACCUGAUAUUCUUUAUUUCUCGCAUGAGAAUAAAAGGAAAGGUCAGCCGAACUAAGAUGAGCUCGCGUUCUAUCAGCUAGUUGGUGAGGUAAAAGCUCACCAAGGCUACGACGGAUAGCUGGUCUGAGAGGACGAUCAGCCACACUGGGACUGAGACACGGCCCAAACUCCUACGGGAGGCAGCAGUGGGGAAUCUUGCACAAUGGAGGAGACUCUGAUGCAGCGAUGCCGCGUGAGUGAAGAAGGCCCUUGGGUUGUAAAGCUCUUUCGUCGGGGAAGAAAAUGACUGUACCCGAAUAAGAAGGUCCGGCUAACUUCGUGCCAGCAGCCGCGGUAAUACGAAGGGACCUAGCGUAGUUCGGAAUUACUGGGCUUAAAGAGUUCGUAGGUGGUUGAAAAAGUUGGUGGUGAAAUCCCAGAGCUUAACUCUGGAAACUGCAUCAAAACUUUUCAGCUAGAGUAUGAUAGAGGCAAGCAGAAUUCCUAGUGGUGACGGGAAAUCGCAGAUUUUACCCCGAAUUCCCAUUGGGAAGGCAGCUUCGGGAUCAUACGGCCUGUGGACGAAGCUGGUAGGAAAGGUUAAUCCUCGUACCAUGCGAAGAGUGGUA
This 749-nucleotide ribosomal RNA is filed under the name uncultured Alphaproteobacteria bacterium. RNAcentral describes it as "bacterial SSU rRNA". It matches the Rfam family "Bacterial small subunit ribosomal RNA", at positions 31 to 814 of the family's 1533-position model. The record is from RNAcentral. Lineage: Bacteria; Pseudomonadati; Pseudomonadota; Alphaproteobacteria.